Molecule: ribosomal RNA, 118 nt
Filed under: Pseudanabaena limnetica KUAC 3902d
Lineage: Bacteria; Bacillati; Cyanobacteriota; Cyanophyceae; Pseudanabaenales; Pseudanabaenaceae
Description: partial 16S ribosomal RNA
Rfam family: Bacterial small subunit ribosomal RNA
Source: RNAcentral
AAGACGGAGGAGGCAAGCGUUAUCCGGAAUUAUUGGGCGUAAAGCGUCCGCAGGCGGCUUUUUAAGUCUGCUGUUAAAGCCCACAGCUCAACUGUGGAUCGGCAGUGGAAACUGGAGA